This 230-nucleotide ribosomal RNA is filed under the name uncultured bacterium. Its description in RNAcentral is "partial 16S ribosomal RNA". It matches the Rfam family "Bacterial small subunit ribosomal RNA", at positions 15 to 236 of the family's 1533-position model. The record is from RNAcentral.
GAUCAUGGCUCAGGAUGAACGCUAGCUACAGGCUUAACACAUGCAAGUCGAGGGGCAGCGGGAUUGAAGCUUGCUUCAAUUGCCGGCGACCGGCGCACGGGUGAGUAACGUGUAUCCAACCUGCCUACCACUUGGGGAUAACCUUGCGAAAGUAAGACUAAUACCCAAUGACAUCCCACGAAGACAUCUGAAUGGGAUUAAAGAUUUAUCGGUGAUGGAUGGGGAUGCGU